This 248-nucleotide long non-coding RNA is filed under the name Carica papaya (papaya). RNAcentral's name for it is "long non-coding RNA (CPAP_LNC013070)". Lineage: Eukaryota; Viridiplantae; Streptophyta; Magnoliopsida; Brassicales; Caricaceae. The record is from RNAcentral.
UCGAAAGCUCCUCAGUACUAGCUCAUUUCCACUAGUUUAGGUUUGACUUCAACAAAUAUUGCAUCAUCCCCCCUUCUUUGAGAGCAUUUGUCCUUGAAUCUAUAAAGAUUAUAAACUUUUCAUUUAAGGUCAAUAAGGAUAGAGGAUUUACCAUACUACCGGUGGGGUGUUCGGGUUAUUCUUGAAUGAAGAAGCAAUUUUUGACUGGAUCUGAAUUGUGGUCCUUCUUUGCUUGCCUCUUAGUGAAC